UUUUUAUUUUGUACAAUUUUGCUUCAAAUCCUAGUAAGUGUCACGCCCUAUUUUAAAAAUAAGUAUUGUGAGAGUUUUAAAAAAAUGUGGCCUGGCUUAGUGGUUAAGAAGUAGUGUAGUUACCCUUGUUUCCUAAGUUUGAUUUUUUUUUUUUUGUAUAAUUUUUAUUUAUUGUAUUUUUGCCCAAAAGCCUAGCAGUUGCCACCCCAUGCUGAAACCUUAGGUAUUUAAUGUAUUUUUUUUCAGUUUAGCCUCAUUUGCUCAUUUGUUCAUUUUCUCUGUCACCCCUAUCUUCUUUUUCUCUCAUUUUCCCCAAUUUUCUUUUCCUCUCUUCUUCUACUGUGUCACCUCUAACUCCUAAUUUCCUUCCAUAUUCUUCUUUUUUCUUCUAUUGUUAGUCGAAUAAUUGCUACCCAUUUUCACACCAUUGUCGCCCCUUGAAGCUCCUCAAUCACCAUUUUAUUAUUGUUG
RNAcentral lists this long non-coding RNA (471 nucleotides) under Gossypium raimondii (Peruvian cotton). Its description in RNAcentral is "long non-coding RNA (GRAI_LNC009231)". The record is from RNAcentral. Lineage: Eukaryota; Viridiplantae; Streptophyta; Magnoliopsida; Malvales; Malvaceae.